Molecule: long non-coding RNA, 938 nt
Organism: Betta splendens (Siamese fighting fish)
Lineage: Eukaryota; Metazoa; Chordata; Actinopteri; Anabantiformes; Osphronemidae
Exons: 3
Source: RefSeq, a predicted model, not a curated record
UGCGUAAUGAAAUAUUGACAAUAUCUUCAGCUACAAUAUUACUGGUUUUAGAUCCUCAUUCACUCAUUUAUUAUUAAUGAGUGAGUGAAUGAGUAAGCAGGAAAAGCUGAAUCUAUAUAUACUGUAGAAGAAUAAAUGUUUUGCUUUGCUACAUUAAUGUUUACAAUACUCAGCUGAAUCUUUUUUUUCUUUUUUCAGUUGAAUCUACCUCUGGAUUUCCUUGCAUUUUUCUUAGUCAGAGUGAUCUUAGUUUUGAUUGGUUUAUUUAGUCACAUGUCUUAAGAACAAGGAAGUGAUUAUAUGUGAAGCCCUCAACGUGGGCGGAACUUUGGAAAACAGCGUGUGGAAGUUUCCUAAAGCUCUUUAUUCUCACUAUGAGUGAUCAAACCACUAUUCCUCACAAAUUAGGGGCCAUAACUAGUGUUACGCAUGUCCUGUAUUUAAAGGUGAUUCUGAAUGAAUUGGAUGGUACACUGUUUCUAAUCAUUUGACUCAACACCAGAGAGUGAUGGACCUGAUGCCUCAGAACACACAACAGAGCAGUGGCCAAACAUCCUGUCGCACGCUGGCAGGCUGCUGUGAGGGCCUCCAUUGUGUUUGUCACCAUCUGUCCGCACCUGUCAGACACGUUGUCUUGCAUUUGAAGGUCCCAGCGUCAGAUCUGUCUGAAAACAAGACAACUGGCGUCGGCGGAGGGGAAGGUGCAACAAAAACAUUUACUUGGAGAGACGGCGGCGAAUAAUUACCUGUGUGUGGCUUGAAAUGGAACCGUUGAGCGGCGCAGAGAUUAGAGCGCGUCCGCCAGUGGCCAUUAAUCAAACACAUUGGAAUUAACUUUCAAUUGACUUUCUUACCCCUCCGCAUAAAACAGAUGCCACGGCUGAAAAAUGGAGCAAGCAAGCAAUCUGUAGUUCAAACAAGGUUUGUUACACACGGUG